GUGUCUUAAGAGCAUCUGGUGGAUGCCUUGGCGCUAAGAGGCGAUGAAGGACGUGGUACGCUGCGAUAAGCCAUGGGGAGCUGCGAACAAGCUUUGAUCCGUGGAUUUCCGAAUGGGGAAACCCACCCGCAAGGGUAUCUUGCACUGAAUACAUAGGUGCAAGAGGCGAACCUGGGGAACUGAAACAUCUAAGUACCCAGAGGAAAAUAAAUCAAACGAGAUUCCGCUAGUAGUGGCGAGCGAACGCGGACGAGGCCAGUGGCUUAUGCGAGACAACCGGAAUGACCUGGAAAGGUCAGCCUUAGUGGGUGAUAGCCCCGUACGGGUAAUGCGAGCAUAAGUCCUUGAGUAGGGCGGG
Molecule: ribosomal RNA, 358 nt
Filed under: Chaetoceros curvisetus
Lineage: Eukaryota; Bacillariophyta; Thalassiosirophyceae; Chaetocerotales; Chaetocerotaceae
Description: partial Bacterial large subunit ribosomal RNA
Rfam family: Bacterial large subunit ribosomal RNA
Source: RNAcentral